UUGGUUAAAAGAUGAUGCGUUUGCUCAAGUGAUGGGUAAAGAACGCUGUGGACGUGUACGUGGGGUCGGUUUUGGACCAACCCCAACAGGAAGAAAUGGGUCCAACCUUCCAUGUUUAACUAGGCCGUCGUCCAGCGAAACGGCCCAUCGGAUGAUUGAAUUGGAAAAUUCGUUAAGGGACCAACUUGCCCAGUCAGAGCAGAGGCAUCAGGAGCAAAUCGCCUCAUUGCAUGCACGGCAUAAGGAGGAAAUCACCGAAGCAAAGCGGCAAUCAGAUGCAUGGCAUGAGCAGCAAAUGGCAGAAAUGAUGUCGGGUGUGAGAGCCAUGUUAGAAGGAAUUAGGCCACUUGUACCUGCUUCACAAAUUUCUUAGGAUAGCGCUGUAUCACAGUGAGGACUCUUUGUGAAUAUUUUAAGAUUGUAUGUUGUAUUACUUUUUGGCUGUAUCAGAAGGAAUAUUGUACACAUGAAGUUUAUUUUGACAAUCUUUUUUGUGAACAUACAACACAUUUAGUUGAAUCUCUUCUAGAAGAACAGCCAAGAGGAUUAAAUAGUGAA
Quercus robur (English oak) is the source of this 558-nucleotide long non-coding RNA. RefSeq lists it as uncharacterized. The record is from RefSeq and is a predicted model, not a curated record. Lineage: Eukaryota; Viridiplantae; Streptophyta; Magnoliopsida; Fagales; Fagaceae. The transcript is spliced from 2 exons.